UUCAACUGAAGAGUUUGAUCAUGGCUCAGAUUGAACGCUGGCGGCAGGCCUAACACAUGCAAGUCGAGCGGAAACGAUCCUAGCUUGCUAGGAGGCGUCGAGCGGCGGACGGGUGAGUAAUGCAUAGGAAUCUGCCCGGUAGUGGGGGAUAACCUGAGGAAACUCAGGCUAAUACCGCAUACGUCCUACGGGAGAAAGCAGGGGCUCUUCGGACCUUGCGCUAUCGGAUGAGCUUAUGUCGGAUUAGCUGGUUGGUGAGGUAACGGCUCACCAAGGCGACGAUCCGUAGCUGGUCUGAGAGGAUGAUCAGCCACAUCGGGACUGAGACACGGCCCGAACUCCUACGGGAGGCAGCAGUGGGGAAUAUUGGACAAUGGGGGCAACCCUGAUCCAGCCAUGCCGCGUGUGUGAAGAAGGCCCUCGGGUUGUAAAGCACUUUCAGUGAGGAAGAAGGCUUGUCGGUUAAUACCCGGCAAGAAAGACAUCACUCACAGAAGAAGCACCGGCUAACUCCGUGCCAGCAGCCGCGGUAAUACGGAGGGUGCGAGCGUUAAUCGGAAUUACUGGGCGUAAAGCGUGCGUAGGCGGCUUGAUAAGCCGGUUGUGAAAGCCCCGGGCUCAACCUGGGAACGGCAUCCGGAACUGUCAGGCUAGAGUGCAGGAGAGGAAGGUAGAAUUCCCGGUGUAGCGGUGAAAUGCGUAGAGAUCGGGAGGAAUACCAGUGGCGAAGGCGGCCUUCUGGACUGACACUGACGCUGAGGUACGAAAGCGUGGGUAGCAAACAGGAUUAGAUACCCUGGUAGUCCACGCCGUAAACGAUGUCGACUAGCCGUUGGGGUCCUCGAGACCUUUGUGGCGCAGUUAACGCACUAAGUCGACCGCCUGGGGAGUACGGCCGCAAGGUUAAAACUCAAAUGAAUUGACGGGGGCCCGCACAAGCGGUGGAGCAUGUGGUUUAAUUCGAUGCAACGCGAAGAACCUUACCUACCCUUGACAUCGUGCGAACUU
Molecule: ribosomal RNA, 1008 nt
Rfam family: Bacterial small subunit ribosomal RNA